Peromyscus maniculatus bairdii (prairie deer mouse) is the source of this 94-nucleotide non-coding RNA. NCBI's taxonomy places the organism in Eukaryota, Metazoa, Chordata, Mammalia, Rodentia, Cricetidae. The record is from RefSeq and is a predicted model, not a curated record.
UGAAAUCAACACGGGAAACCUCACCCGGCCCGGACACGGACAGGAUUGACAGAUUGAUAGCUUUUUCUCGAUUCCGUGGAUGGUGGAGAUGGGA